RNAcentral lists this transfer RNA (71 nucleotides) under Loxodonta africana (African savanna elephant). It matches the Rfam family "tRNA". Rfam says of the family: Transfer RNA (tRNA) molecules are approximately 80 nucleotides in length. Their secondary structure includes four short double-helical elements and three loops (D, anti-codon, and T loops). Lineage: Eukaryota; Metazoa; Chordata; Mammalia; Proboscidea; Elephantidae. The record is from Rfam by way of RNAcentral.
GCAUUGGUGGUUCAGUGGUAGAAUUCCCACCUUCUGUGUGGGGGACGUGGGUUCGAUUCCCGGGCAACGUA